Molecule: long non-coding RNA, 587 nt
Organism: Helianthus annuus (common sunflower)
Lineage: Eukaryota; Viridiplantae; Streptophyta; Magnoliopsida; Asterales; Asteraceae
Exons: 3
Source: RefSeq, a predicted model, not a curated record
CCUCCCUGUCUCCCUCCUUUAACUCCGGUAGUCGGAGUGAACGCCAGCGACAUCUCUCCGAUCAAGCACAACCACCACCUCCUGCACCUCUUGACAUCCUACACCUCUCGGCACCCUCACAUCUCGAAGAACACCCUCACUCCUUAUGUCCCGAUAACAAGCUCAUUGCCGGAAUCACGUAACUGUAUCGUUGCACGUCACCAGAGAGAACCAUAGCUUUACCAGAGGUCGGAGCUCGCGAACGAGGAUCGUUUCACCUCGAUUCGGUAUACCUUUCCCAUUCCCUUGUGUUACUCUGCUGUAAUACAAUAAGAAUCGGAGGUUCACGCCGGGGUUACAUCGACUCGCCUUCGAGACCCCCGGACCAGAGAAACCGAGUUCAUCGGAAAAUGACGUGGGAGUUUACACAGUCCUCUUCGUUUCGUUCAUCGCUGCAACCCGGCGCCGGAGUCUCGCCAAAGAUCGGAGCUCGCCGGAGUGUACACCGGAACUCGACUCGUCCAGAUGGUGACUUCUCAUCUCUUGGAUUUCCCAAUAUUUACUCGUGUGAUAAUUCAAGGGAUUCUUAUACGCAACCAGGUGAGUAU